This 750-nucleotide ribosomal RNA is filed under the name uncultured bacterium. RNAcentral's name for it is "bacterial SSU rRNA". It matches the Rfam family "Bacterial small subunit ribosomal RNA", at positions 43 to 783 of the family's 1533-position model. The record is from RNAcentral.
CAGGCCUAACACAUGCAAGUCGAGCGGACUUAUCCUUCGGGAUAGGUUAGCGGCGGACGGGUGAGUAACACGUAGGCAACCUGCCUGUAAGAUCGGGAUAACUACCGGAAACGGUAGCUAAGACCGGAUAGCUGGUUUCUCCGCAUGGGGGAAUCAUGAAACACGGGGCAACCUGUGGCUUACGGAUGGGCCUGCGGCGCAUUAGCUAGUUGGUGGGGUAACGGCCCACCAAGGCGACGAUGCGUAGCCGACCUGAGAGGGUGAUCGGCCACACUGGGACUGAGACACGGCCCAGACUCCUACGGGAGGCAGCAGUAGGGAAUCUUCCGCAAUGGGCGCAAGCCUGACGGAGCAACGCCGCGUGAGUGAUGAAGGUUUUCGGAUCGUAAAGCUCUGUUGCCAAGGAAGAACGCCUCGGAGAGUAACUGCUCUGAGGGUGACGGUACUUGAGAAGAAAGCCCCGGCUAACUACGUGCCAGCAGCCGCGGUAAUACGUAGGGGGCAAGCGCUGUCCGGAAUUAUUGGGCGUAAAGCGCGCGCAGGCGGUCUUUUAAGUUUGGUGUUUAAGCCCGGGGCUCAACCCCGGUUCGCACUGAAAACUGGGAGACUUGAGUGCAGGAGAGGAAAGCGGAAUUCCACGUGUAGCGGUGAAAUGCGUAGAGAUGUGGAGGAACACCAGUGGCGAAGGCGGCUUUCUGGACUGUAACUGACGCUGAGGCGCGAAAGCGUGGGGAGCAAACAGGAUUAGAU